Molecule: long non-coding RNA, 1873 nt
Filed under: Homo sapiens (human)
Lineage: Eukaryota; Metazoa; Chordata; Mammalia; Primates; Hominidae
Description: HSALNT0317666
Source: RNAcentral
GGUGGAUCACCUGAGGUCAGGAGUUCGAGACCAGCCUGGCCAACCUGGUGAAACCCCGUCUCUACUAAAAAUACAAAAAUUAGCCAGGCGUAAUGGUGGGCUACUCGAGUGGCUGAGGCAUAAGAAUCACUUGAACCCAGGAGGCCGAGGUUGCAGUGAGCUGAGAUCCCAUCACUGCACUCCAGCCUGGGUGACAGAGUGAGACUCCAUCUCAAAAAAAAAAGAUAAUAAAAAUAAUAAUUUUUUUUAUAAAAUACUAACUGUAUUUUGAAAUUAGAAGAAAAAGCAAAAAAUGAACAGUACCAGACUAUUUUAUGAUUAAGAGUCAAUAAAUGGUAGAAACAAGAACAAAUAUUAGAAACUUUCAUGGAAGACAGCAUUUGCAUCCUAAGGAUGUACACAGGAUUUGGACUACUGCCGGGCAGAUGUUACAGGUUGGGAAGCAGAAUGCACAUGGCUUAGAGAUGAGAAUUAUAUGAGAGUGUUGAUAGGACAAGAGGAAAACUCCCUUGCUGAAGUUGAAGUAUUCUCAUUGUGGAAUUCUGGGAAUUAAGUGUGGGCAGGAGGGUAGAUGUACAGGUAGCAGCAGACAUAACAGACUCAGGAAAGCUGGAUCAAAAUCCAGCAACAGGAAGAGCCAGGAAGAAACUGAUCUGCAGAACACAAGAGGGCUCAGGACUGCCACAGCCACACCUGGUACCAAGAAGUAAGAGCUACAAUCAAAAGGAUUAGACAAACGUCUGUUUCAGAGACAGACGCCAGCAUUCCUCUCCCUCACUGCGACCAGCUGGACCAGUUCGUUCCGAACCCAGCUGAUAUAGUUUGGGUAUUUGUCCAAAUCUUCUGUUGAAAUAUGAUUCCCAGUGUUGGAUGUGGGGCCUAGUGAGAGGUGUCUGGGUCAUGGGGAUGGAUCCCUCAUGAAUAGCUUGGUGCCCUCCCCACAGGAAUAAGUUCCCCAGAGAUCUGCUUGUUCAAGAGGUCGGGAGCUCCCUCCUCUCUCGUUCCCGCUCUAUGUGAUAAGCCUGCCCCCACUCUGCCUUCCGCCAUGACUGUAAGCUUCCUGAGCCGUCACCAGAAGCCGAUGACAGCACUUAUGCUUCCUGUAGUCUGCAGAACUGUGUCAAAGCCCACAGAAUGUAGAACACCCAGAGUGAACCCUAAUGUGAACAUGGACUUCGGAUGAUGAUGUCGGUUCAUCGAAACACCCAGAGUGAACCCUAAUGUGAACAUGGACUUCGGAUGAUGAUGUCGGUUCAUUGAAAACACCCAGAGUGAACCCUAAUGUGAACAUGGACUUUGGAUGAUGAUGUGGGUUCAUCGAUUGUACCAAAAAUGCCUCUGUGGUACAGGAUGCUGACGGUGCGGAAGGCCACGAGUGUGUGGAGCAGGGGUAUAUGGGAACUCUCUGUACCUUCCACUUAAAUUUGUUGUGAACCUAAAAUUGCUCUAAAAAAUAAAGUCUAUUAAUAAUAAUAAAAAAGAAACCUCAAAAUAACACCAAAAACCCCUCAACAACAACAACAAAAAACCUAGUUUGGUAGUUCCUAAAAAAGCUAAACAUAGAAUUGCCAUAUGAUACAGCAAUUCUACUGCUGAGUAGACUGAAAAUAGGGACUCAGACAGAUACGCGGAAGCCAGUGUUCGCUGCAGCAAGACUCCAAUAGCCAAGAGGUGGACACAAACGACCUAAGUGUCCAUCAACUGAUUCAAAACGUGACAGAUCCAUACAAUGGAGUGUUAUUGAGACAUAAAGGAACACCGUAAGGAAUACUGUUCUGAUACAUGGCACAAUGUGGAUGAACCCUGAGAAUGCCACGCUAAGUAAAAGGAGUCAGGUACAAAAGGACAAACAUGGUAUGAUUCUACUUAUAAG